Molecule: transfer RNA, 72 nt
Filed under: Camelus bactrianus (Bactrian camel)
Lineage: Eukaryota; Metazoa; Chordata; Mammalia; Artiodactyla; Camelidae
Also listed under: 2 other names
Rfam family: tRNA
About the family: Transfer RNA (tRNA) molecules are approximately 80 nucleotides in length. Their secondary structure includes four short double-helical elements and three loops (D, anti-codon, and T loops).
Source: Rfam by way of RNAcentral
GAGGAUAUAGCUCGAGUGGUUGAGUGCCUGCUUAGCAUUCAUGAGGUCCUGGGUUCAAUCCCCAGUACCUCA